AAGUCGUAACAAGGUCUCCGUAGGUGAACCUGCGGAGGGAUCAUUACAGAGUUCUCGCCCUCACGGGUAGACCUCCCACCCUGUGCUAUCGUUACCUCCGUUGCUUCGGCGGGCCGCCGGCCCAGCCGCCACCGGCCCCGGCUGGUGAGCGCCCGCCAGAGGACCAAAACCCUGAAUGUUAGUGUCGUCUGAGUCCUAUUAAAUCGUUAAAA
Molecule: unclassified non-coding RNA, 212 nt
Filed under: plant metagenome
Description: partial contains small subunit ribosomal RNA and internal transcribed spacer 1
Rfam family: Eukaryotic small subunit ribosomal RNA (bases 1-46)
Source: RNAcentral